UAACAACCUGGAAACAAGAUGCUAAUACCGGAUAACAAACAGAUGAUGCCUAUCAACUGUUUAAAAGAUGGUUCUGCUAUCACUCUUGGAUGGACCUGCGGUGCAUUAGCUAGUUGGUAGGGUAACGGCCUACCAAGGCGAUGAUGCAUAGCCGAGUUGAGAGACUGAUCGGCCACAUUGGGACUGAGACACGGCCCAAACUCCUACGGGAGGCAGCAGGU
RNAcentral lists this ribosomal RNA (221 nucleotides) under uncultured Lactobacillus sp. Its description in RNAcentral is "partial 16S ribosomal RNA". It matches the Rfam family "Bacterial small subunit ribosomal RNA", at positions 144 to 354 of the family's 1533-position model. The record is from RNAcentral. Lineage: Bacteria; Bacillati; Bacillota; Bacilli; Lactobacillales; Lactobacillaceae.